GGUUCUAUAGCGUAGUGGUUAGCACAUCUGCUUUACAUGCAGAAGGUCCUGGGUUCAUGCCCCAGUGGAGUAA
Non-coding RNA from Pteropus alecto (black flying fox), 73 nucleotides. The record is from Rfam. NCBI's taxonomy places the organism in Eukaryota, Metazoa, Chordata, Mammalia, Chiroptera, Pteropodidae.